GCAAGUCGAACGAACCUUCGGGUUAGUGGCGGACGGGUGAGUAACGCGUGAGAAUCUGCCCUCAGGAGGGGGACAACAGCUGGAAACGGCUGCUAAUACCCCAUAUGCCGCGAGGUGAAAUGAAUUUCGCCUGAGGAUGAGCUCGCGUCUGAUUAGCUAGUUGGUGUAGGUAAUGGCUCACCAAGGCAUCGAUCAGUAGCUGGUCUGAGAGGAUGAUCAGCCACACUGGGACUGAGACACGGCCCAGACUCCUACGGGAGGCAGCAGUGGGGAAUUUUCCGCAAUGGGCGAAAGCCUGACGGAGCAACGCCGCGUGAGGGAUGAAGGCCCCUGGGCUGUAAACCUCUUUUAUCAAGGAAGAAGAUCUGACGGUACUUGAUGAAUAAGCCACGGCUAAUUCCGUGCCAGCAGCCGCGGUAAUACGGGAGUGGCAAGCGUUAUCCGGAAUUAUUGGGCGUAAAGCGUCCGCAGGCGGCCCUUCAAGUCUGCUGUUAAAAAGUGGAGCUUAACUCCAUCAUGGCAGUGGAAACUGUUGGGCUUGAGUGUGGUACGGGCAGAGGGAAUUCCCGGUGUAGCGGUGAAAUGC
RNAcentral lists this ribosomal RNA (586 nucleotides) under uncultured bacterium. Its description in RNAcentral is "bacterial SSU rRNA". It matches the Rfam family "Bacterial small subunit ribosomal RNA", at positions 57 to 689 of the family's 1533-position model. The record is from RNAcentral.